Non-coding RNA from Pelobates cultripes (western spadefoot toad), 355 nucleotides. Lineage: Eukaryota; Metazoa; Chordata; Amphibia; Anura; Pelobatidae. The record is from the annotation of a GenBank genome assembly.
CACACUCACUCCCAUUCACUGACACACACACAUACACACACACUCACUGGUACACACACACACACACUUACUUUCACUGACACACACACACACUCACUCAAUUCACUGACACACACACUCAUUCACUGACACACACAUACACUCACUCACUCACUCACAUUUACUGACACACACACAUUCACUCACUCACAUUCACUGACACACACACUCACUCACUCACACACACACAUUCUCCCCCAACACUCACAAUUAUUAUUUUUUUUUAAAUUUAAAUCCACCCAGCCUCCCUACUCCCCUGAAUUCUCCCCCACAGUCCUACAAUGUGUCACUGCUUGCCUUUCUUCAAUGAUUGAUU